RNAcentral lists this ribosomal RNA (463 nucleotides) under Vreelandella stevensii. RNAcentral describes it as "partial 16S ribosomal RNA". It matches the Rfam family "Bacterial small subunit ribosomal RNA", at positions 338 to 795 of the family's 1533-position model. The record is from RNAcentral. Lineage: Bacteria; Pseudomonadati; Pseudomonadota; Gammaproteobacteria; Oceanospirillales; Halomonadaceae.
CCUACGGGAGGCUGCAGUGGGGAAUAUUGGACAAUGGGCGAAAGCCUGAUCCAGCCAUGCCGCGUGUGUGAAGAAGGCCUUCGGGCUGUAAAGCACUUUCAGUGGGGAAGAAAGCCUUGGGGCUAAUACCCUCGAGGAAGGACAUCACCCACAGAAGAAGCACCGGCUAACUCCGUGCCAGCAGCCGCGUAAUACGGAGGGUGCGAGCGUUAAUCGGAAUUACUGGGCGUAAAGCGCGCGUAGGCGGUCUGAUAAGCCGGUUGUGAAAGCCCGGGCUCAACCUGGGAACGGCAUCCGGGGGUGGAGGGUAAGAGGGCAGGAGAGGAGGGGAGAGUGCCCGGGGGAGGGGGGAAGUGCGGGGGGAUGGGGAGGAAGACAAGGGGCGAGGGCGGUAUGUGGAACUAACAGUGACGCUGGGGGGCGAACGGUUGGGAAAAAAAGGGGGUUAGAUACCCUGGGGGUG